Long non-coding RNA from Girardinichthys multiradiatus, 850 nucleotides. RefSeq lists it as uncharacterized. The record is from RefSeq and is a predicted model, not a curated record. Lineage: Eukaryota; Metazoa; Chordata; Actinopteri; Cyprinodontiformes; Goodeidae. The transcript has 2 exons.
AGUGAAGUAGCCGAGGAUUUGCCAUCUGUAAACACGUCCAUGUUUUUUGCCGUUUACGGCUGCUCCAAUCGCUCCAGCAGAAAAAAGGAAAAGCAUUAUUAUCGAGUGCCAAAGGUUGUCAUUCAUAAAGGUGAAAGAUGUAAAAAACUAACCGAAAAACGACUUAAAAAGUGGAUUACAAAUUUACAUCUGCGGUCGGGAGGAGCAGAGUCUGCUAAUGUGAGUGUCUGUAGCGACCACUUCGUCAGCGGCUGCAAGAGAGUGAGAGAAAGCAGGAUCAUAGGACUUUCUCCGACAAUGAUUUGGGAGAUUUUAGCCAGCUCGGGUGUUGUCCUUCGAAGAAAAUGUGUCUGUCUUGCAACCCUUCUCCUUAUUCUAGAUAAAUGGAACAUAGAGGAUAUUAUUAUAACCAUUUGCUUAAAUUCCCGCACCUUCUUCAGUGCUGCUGUCAUUCUCUUGGAACCUCCUCGACCAGUUUCUAUUUUGUCUUUUGAUAAAUUUGGGAGAAAUAUCAAAUUUUUGUAAUUUCACUAUUGUCCCAUAUUUUCUCCAGAUAUUGAUGACUAUAUAUAUAUAUAUGUAUAUCCCUGUAUGUAUGCAUGCAUGUAUGUAUGUACAGUAUGUAAAGUAUAUUUUAAUUUUUUUGUACAUCUUUCCUCACCUUUUAUCCUUUCUGAGCUCACUGCAAUCUAUGACUUUGUAAAUGUGAGUAAACCCCUACUAAGACAGCUUAUUUAUUAUUUUAAAUUGAGCUAUAAUCACCAUAAACUGUUUGAUAUGUACCCAAGAAAACUAAAUGAUGAAAUUGGAUAAUAAAAUAAAGUAUUUCAAAGCAUGCACACCUAUACAA